Molecule: long non-coding RNA, 1000 nt
Filed under: Homo sapiens (human)
Lineage: Eukaryota; Metazoa; Chordata; Mammalia; Primates; Hominidae
Description: HSALNT0268617
Source: RNAcentral
CUGCCCUUAUGAAUGGAUUAGUAUCAUUAUUGCAGGAGUGGCUUCAUGAUGGAGAGAGUGGAUUUGUCAUGAAAGUGAGUUCGGCCAUUCCUUGCUGUCUCACGUGCCACCUCUUGCCAUGGGAUGCCCUCGCCAUGGGAUGACAGCAAGAAGGCCCUUGCUUGAGUGAGCCCCUCCAUCUUCGGCUCUCCGGCCUCCAGGACUGUUAGAAAUACAUCUCUGUUCUUUGUAAAUUACCCAGGCUGUAGUACUCUGUUAUAGCAACACAAAACAGACUAAGACACUACUAUGUAGAUGAAGAAACAGGCCCAAGAGGUGAGGAGUGUUGUCCAGGUCUUCUGGCCAGAGGAGCGGCAGAGAUGGGAUUUCAACCCUGGGACUGUGUGGCUUGUGACCACUCCUAGCUUCAGCCCUGCCCGGUGCUGAGGGGUUUGGGGCCAGAACGAUGGCCAGAUGUUUGGGCACACUGGGCCCUACCCACCUGGAAAGAGGCUGGCCUGGGGUUGAAUGAGAACCAGAAGUGACUCAGGCUAGGACCCCUCUGCACCCUCCCUCAGGCCGUGGGUAAUUACCUGCCCAGGUUAAUAGCGCCCACUUCCCGCCACCUUUCAUCAAGGCUCCUGGAGCUGCCAGGCAGUAAUUAACCCUCACAGCACCCUUCUGAAGUCAGCACUGGAGGCAGACGUGUGAUGAAACACGUUUAUUACAGGAAGCACCAGUUAGCCCAGAUGCUUCUCAUCUUUGGAGUUGAGCUGCAGGCUGGAGACCUGGAAGGCCCUCGCAGCGCCUGCUCCCAUCCUCUCACCUCACGAAAGCGCAGGAAUCUCCAUGAGGGCAGGGGAUUUUGUCUGUUUCAUUCACAAUGUGUUCCCAGAGCUCAGCACAGUGUCAGGCACACACUAGGUAACAGCACCUCGACUUCCUACUGAAGAACCCCCUCUUCCCUUUUCUCAGUCCAUGAGGCUGGGGGUGCCCAGAGGCCUCUGUCUCCAGGGGUGGA